Molecule: ribosomal RNA, 1192 nt
Filed under: Aelurostrongylus abstrusus (cat lungworm)
Lineage: Eukaryota; Metazoa; Nematoda; Chromadorea; Rhabditida; Metastrongylidae
Description: SSU rRNA
Rfam family: Eukaryotic small subunit ribosomal RNA
Source: RNAcentral
CACUAGUGUAAAUCGUCAUUGCUGCGGUUAAAAAGCUCGUAGUUGGAUCUGAGUUGCAUGCAGUGGUUCGCCUUUGGCGUUAAUCACUGUUGCGACUAUUUGCUGGUUUUCUGCAGAGAUUUCGAUUUCUGUAGUGGCUAGCGAGUUUACUUUGAAUAAAUUAGAGUGCUCAGAACAAGCGUUUGCUUGAAUGAUCGAUCAUGGAAUAAUAGAAGAGGACUUCGGUUCUAUUUAUUGGUUCAGGAACUGAAAUAAUGGUUAAGAGGGACAAUUCGGGGGCAUUCGUAUCCCUGCGCGAGAGGUGAAAUUCGUGGACCGCAGGGGGACGCCCUAAAGCGAAAGCAUUUGCCAAGAAUGUCUUCAUUAAUCAAGAACGAAAGUCAGAGGUUCGAAGGCGAUUAGAUACCGCCCUAGUUCUGACCGUAAACUAUGCCAUCUAGCGAUCCGAUGGGGUAUUGUUGCCUUGUCGAGGAGCUUCCCGGAAACGAAAGUCUUUCGGUUCCUGGGGUAGUAUGGUUGCAAAGCUGAAACUUAAAGAAAUUGACGGAAUGGCACCACCAGGAGUGGAGCCUGCGGCUUAAUUUGACUCAACACGGGAAAACUCACCCGGCCCGGACACCGUAAGGAUUGACAGAUUGAAAGCUCUUUCUCGAUUUGGUGGUUGGUGGUGCAUGGCCGUUCUUAGUUGGUGGAGCGAUUUGUCUGGUUUAUUCCGAUAACGAGCGAGACUCUAGCUUGCUAAAUAGUGACUGGAUUUUCACGUCUAGUUCACUUCUUAGAGGGAUAAGCGGUGUUUAGCCGCACGAGAUUGAGCGAUAACAGGUCUGUGAUGCCCUUAGAUGUUCGGGGCUGCACGCGCGCUACAAUGGAAGAAUCAGCUGGCCUACCCAUUGCCGAAAGGUAUUGGUAAACCGUUGAAACUCUUCCGUGACCGGGAUAGGGAAUUGUAAUUAUUUCCCUUGAACGAGGAAUUCCUAGUAAGUGUGAGUCAUCAGCUCACGCUGAUUACGUCCCUGCCAUUUGUACACACCGCCCGUCGCUGUCCGGGACUGAGCUGUCUCGAGAGGACUGCGGACUACUGUAUUGAGGCCUUCGGGUCGCGAUAUGGCGGGAAACAGUUCAAUCGCAAUGGCUUGAACCGGGUAAAAGUCGUAACAAGGUAUCUGUAGGUGAACCUGCAGAUGGAUCAUCG